This 84-nucleotide transfer RNA is filed under the name Schistocephalus solidus. It matches the Rfam family "tRNA". From Rfam's summary of the family: Transfer RNA (tRNA) molecules are approximately 80 nucleotides in length. The record is from Rfam by way of RNAcentral. Lineage: Eukaryota; Metazoa; Platyhelminthes; Cestoda; Diphyllobothriidea; Diphyllobothriidae.
GGCCUCAUAGAUCCUUUGGCUAGAGCGUUGACUGAACUAAAACCUUCCCCCUUGCCGGCGUGGGUUCAAAUCCCACUGAGGCCA